CCUACGGGUGGCAGCAGUGAGGAAUAUUGGUCAAUGGACGAGAGUCUGAACCAGCCAAGUAGCGUGAAGGAUGACUGCCCUAUGGGUUGUAAACUUCUUUUAUAAAGGAAUAAAACGAGGCACGUGUGCCUUUUUGCAUGUACUUUAUGAAUAAGGAUCGGCUAACUCCUUGCCAGCAGCCGCGGUAAUACGGAGGAUCCGAGCGUUAUCCGGAUUUAUUGGGUUUAAAGGGAGCGUAGAUGGGUUGUUAAGUCAGUUGUGAAAUUUUGCGGCUCAACCGUAAAAUUGCAAUUGAUACUGGCAGUCUUGAGUACAGUUGAGGUAGGCGGAAUUCGUGGUGUAGCGGUGAAAUGCUUAGAUAUCACGAAUAACCCCGAUUGCGAAGGCAGCUUACUAAACUGUGACUGACAUUGAUGCUCGAAAGUGUGGGUAUCAAACAGGAUUAGAUACCCCAGUAGUC
Molecule: ribosomal RNA, 460 nt
Filed under: uncultured bacterium
Lineage: Bacteria
Description: partial 16S ribosomal RNA
Rfam family: Bacterial small subunit ribosomal RNA
Source: RNAcentral